UACUCCGCAAAUUGCACAAGCUGUAAGUAUAACAUCAAGCACCAAAGCAUGGCUUCGUUUCGCCUGAACGCAGUUUUAUUGUUGUUGAUCUUCACCUAUCUUACUUUGACACAUGCCAAUACUAAUUGAAAAGGCCUGAAAGGUGGCUCUCUGCAAAGCCCGUGCCGCACACGAUUGAACAAACGGCAGGCCAGAGCAGUUUUCAACGAUGUUGUUGAUGAAUCGCGUCAGGAACUAAAGGUUGAAAGAAAGAGAGACGUAGGGAGUCAAGAUGAAAUUAUUGAACGGUUCGUUGCAAUGAAGAAAUAGAAGCCACCUCAACAAGAGACUGUAGAAG
Dendronephthya gigantea is the source of this 337-nucleotide long non-coding RNA. RefSeq lists it as uncharacterized. The transcript has 5 exons. The record is from RefSeq and is a predicted model, not a curated record. NCBI's taxonomy places the organism in Eukaryota, Metazoa, Cnidaria, Anthozoa, Malacalcyonacea, Nephtheidae.